AAUGCUUGAGUUAAAAAGAUGAUGCAACAGAAUACACACAUACAUAUGUAUAUAUUUACAAGAAAUCUGUAUUUAUGCACCGGACAAAUCGCAUUCACAAGAGCAUAUGCCAAAAUAACCCCCAAAUUUCUAUUGCGUCAUUUCGUCAGUAACCGAAAUUUGCUUUUGUUGCUUCUUUUUUUCCAGAAGUAGCAGCAAACGCAAUCGCAGGCUAAAUGAAAAUUCUGACUGUUAGUAGUGCAUUUUUAUAUUAAUUUCUAACAAUUUUUUUUCUUGUUUUAGAUUGAGAACGUCUUUGAGAUCCAGCUUCCGCAAACCACUUUUCGCACUUUUUAAAAGCGAAAGUAAGGGAAUAAAACUGCUCAAAUCUUUGGAAAGCCACGCUUAAGAGAUACAAUCAACUUUAAUUUGGCUUGCGAUCCAUUCAGUGUUGGUGCGACAGCAAUGACAAAGAAGGACGGCGGAAGCAAGAACGCGAAGCACACCAUUGCGGACCCGCGAAGCCGUUUCUUGGUUUGGAAGGCUACUGUUGGGGAACUGCAAACACAUCUAAAGGCAUUGACGGAAAAUUGCUAAUCCGGAAAGCCGAAACUGCAACCAUUCAGCUGCAACGUGGGAACAAGCC
Long non-coding RNA from Drosophila takahashii, 625 nucleotides. RefSeq lists it as uncharacterized. NCBI's taxonomy places the organism in Eukaryota, Metazoa, Arthropoda, Insecta, Diptera, Drosophilidae. The record is from RefSeq and is a predicted model, not a curated record.